GAGGGCAGAGCUCAGUGGUAGAAUGUGUGCUUAGCAUGCACGAGGUCCUGGAUUCAAUCCCCAGUACCUCCA
Molecule: transfer RNA, 72 nt
Filed under: Camelus bactrianus (Bactrian camel)
Lineage: Eukaryota; Metazoa; Chordata; Mammalia; Artiodactyla; Camelidae
Also listed under: 1 other name
Rfam family: tRNA
About the family: Transfer RNA (tRNA) molecules are approximately 80 nucleotides in length. Their secondary structure includes four short double-helical elements and three loops (D, anti-codon, and T loops).
Source: Rfam by way of RNAcentral